AUGAGCUCUUGGAGUUAUUCUGUACUAGGUGCAAAACCUGGAAUGUUGACGAGGUAUAAAUUCUCAUGUGUUUUGAACUAUUCUGGAGCAGAGCUACUGCAUGAUCGUUAUAUUCAAGUUUGGGUUAAAUCCCUUUUUGCUGGACAACUUAUUCAGUGUGCCUUUAAAAUCAACCAUUGGAGAAUUGCUUGGAUACUAGACUGGGAUGUAUAUGAACAUGCUGAUAUGAAAUUGAGGGAAUUAUGGCUCACGAAAAUGGGCCAGGAGAUCUGCUAUUGUAUUGGUGAUGUUACUGCUCGGUACUUGUCCUUUACACGAUUCAGACCUACUGAUGCAUAUUUUGGUGAGCAUAAGAUGCAAAUUCUCGAAGGAAUUGAGAAAUGGUUGUCAUAUAAUCAAUAUGUGCAGCCAACUGCUGAAAUUUUUUAG
Molecule: ribosomal RNA, 429 nt
Filed under: Triticum aestivum (bread wheat)
Lineage: Eukaryota; Viridiplantae; Streptophyta; Magnoliopsida; Poales; Poaceae
Description: partial small subunit ribosomal RNA
Source: RNAcentral